GGCGAAUCACAGAGCGGAUCUCUCUUCCCCCGCCCCCCAAAGGACCUCUCUGAGGUGUCCGCGUAGGCCGGGCUGUUGUAGAACGAGACACCGCUGCGACAAGGGGCGGCUGGCGGCAAGCAUCUCCGUGAGCCGCCCCGCCGAGGCGAGCGCUGAUUGGCGUUUACUGAGGCCCCCAGCAGAAAAACAGCCCGAAGGUGGGCGGUGGGAGAACUGCAAUUCCCGACAGGCCGCGCGGGGCGGGGCGCGGGGGCCGCUGGGAGCUGUAGUUCCGGGCGGGAGGCUCCUGCCGUGCGGCGGGCGCGUGGAGCCGGCGGCCAUUUUGCUGCGGGAUCCAGUGAGCCCGAGGGAACUGCGGGUGUCGGGCUUCGGCGCUGGCAGCUCGCGGGUGUGCGGGCACAGAGAGUGCCAGAGAAAUGUUCAGAGUUUUUAAAUGAUUUAUUCAUUAAAUAAAGAGUAAGGGCGGACCCACCGGUGUGAUGGCGACGGGUUUCCCCAGUGUUGACCUUUCUGAGGUGAUGUUCAGGGGGGAAGAGCCCUGACGCACGGAGGUGGAUGAGUCACGGCGCUGUGCUGGAAAUGAACGUGUGUCAGUGCCCUGAGCGCCGGCGGCAGCCCUGCCCUGCCCUGCCCCCAGUGCCUGCUCCACAGCUGCUCCCGGGUGCAGGAGCACAGCCCACCUGGAGCUGGGUGCUGGCGAGGCGGAAAGCUCACAAGAGUUGCCCUGUCUGCCCUUGGUGGUUUUUGCCCUGAAAUUGUUGGGUUUUCACAAAUAUUUGGCAUCCUCGGUGCUUCUGAGAGCUCUGAGUACCAACGACAGCAAACAGACCUCAGGCCCUGCCUGGAAACUUAGGGGAGAGCAGAAGAUCCAGCUUGCUAAGCCAAAGAAGAGAUUGCAGUGCUGUGCUUUCUGUGGUGAGGUUCCUAUGUAGGCACAGAGGUAUUUUCUUUAGAAGGAACACUUUCUCAGCCACACUACCCAUAGCAGGAGGGCCACCCACCUGCCACCUCCCUCCCAGGGCCACCCUAUGGUGCAGCUCUCCAGCCUGCCAAGUCCCAUGCCACAGUUCUGACCAUGGUUUCGUGCUGCCUGCCCUUCUGUACAGUCAUACCUUCCUGCAGAGACAGGAGAUAACACAGUGGAUGACCUCACUGGUGCUACUUGCAGCAAAACUACUCAGCCUCCUCCUGCAAAGGGCAAGAUGGCAGGAGAACAGCGCUCACCUUCAGGACAUGCUGCCAGGUCAGACAGUGGCAUUUCUAGGAGGAGGGCAGCCCUUUGUUAUAAUGCCCCUUCGGAAAUGUGUAUCAAGCUCCAAGUUCUUCCUUUGGGUAAAACCAAUCUGCAGUCCUCCAGCUGAGCCCCAGUGAGGUGCCUUGGCGGUGGGAAUUUCCUCAAAACUUCAGUAACAGCACACAUUGUACCCACAGAUAUUUUAACUGUGCCAUGAGUGCCCAAAACCAUCCUGAAAGGGCUGUGGAGAGGUGGUGACAUGUGAGCCUUGGCCACAGCUGCCUCCUUUAGGUCCCUCCGUGGCAGGGACUUUUGAUCGCUGAGGGAAAAGCUUUGAAGCCACAUCUGCUCAGCCCAUGUAGCUGUUCUGGGCUGGCACAGCUCCCACAUGCGUUAUGGUCCACUUAUCAGCAGGAGAUUAAUCACAUGCAGCUUAGACCAAACACAGUUAAAGAGCAGUCAGGGAGGACAGAUCAUUUCAGGAAAUCAUGACAGUGAGUGAGCAGGAUCCUGGAGAAAAGCUUUCUCGAGUCACUCCCCACGAGGUACAGUGUAUACCUGAAGACCUUCGGUGUCAUCAGCCAGGCAGAGGCUGCAGGUCAUCAGCCCUGACAUACCAGCAUGGCUCAGCACUCACUAAGCUUGCAUCUCAAACAACGAUAAGAUGAGGAAUGUAAUGGUAAAAAACAAGGCAGAUUACCCAAUCUCCCUACUGGAGCCUAUAAUUAACUGUGAGAACAAUGUACAUAGGUGAUCUAGGAGCAAAUAUUUGCUUGGGAGUCUUAAAAAGUGCUGUAGAGGUUGAGCAGUGCCCACAGCCGUAUUUUCCCUUCCCAUCAUCUCAGUUGCUUUUGCUGGAAGUGGGUGGCUGGAAGGAUUGCUUCAGCUGCAUCAUGCCCAGUGCUUGGUGGCUGUCCCUUCUCUCACACAGAGAAGACCAUAAGGAGAGAGGGUAGUGAGGGUAGUGCCAAGAACCAGGCUGCCACGCUGAGAUGAAGCUCUCAGCUGGGGCUGUUGUGUUUCAGCAAUUCCGAGUGUUUGUUUGCUGAAAAUGCUAAGCCUGAUCUCUGAUUUAGCAUAGAAUAUCCACACCUUCUCUUCUCAAAGGUAUCUUUUUUCUCCCCAAGUGUUUUUCCUUUCUAAUGUGUGAUUUAAUUUGCACAAGGCUCCUUCCUUUUCUGAUUAUUAAUUUUGGCUCCUUACCGGUUAAAAUAAAACAAAUCUCUCCUAAGCCUGUUCUGACAACGCAACUUUUGUCUGAGUUUUCCUUCCAGAUGCAAUUUCCUGUUUAAUUUCCUGACCGUUUCUUACUUAGUAAAGGAAGAGCUAUAAAUUUCAAGAUUGCUUCAGAUAACUUCCUCUAACUUCAACUGAACCGUUCCCCCUGUCAGGGGAGAAUCCAGCAAAACAGUAUAAAACUUUUAAAAGCAAUCCUGAAAUAUCUGAGAAGCCAAAACCUUCCAGGGCUCACAAUGAGGGGGAAUGAACUGUGCAAGAAGUGGGAUUGGAAUCUUUUUCCUUGUAGAGCUAAAGAGAAGAAACUCUGCCUCCAGCACAGCUGAUAAUUGCUGUUUCACCCUGAGAUACAGGGCUUUUGUUAGGGAGAUGUCACCAUGGCACGGCGCCCCGUAGGUACCAGUGGCACUGGUUCUGUGUUCUGAUAUGAUCCCAAAUGUGCAUGCAUGCUGAUUUCCCAUAGCUGUCCUCUGUGUUGCUUCAAGCUUGCAGAAUGGCACACUGUGCUGCUGGGCUGCCAGACUCCUGGAUGUGAGACAGCGGUCACGGUGACCCUGAUUAAAUGGCAGAUAUGGCAGGGUAGGGUCACCAAGAGGCACAUUCAGUGCAGAGCCUUGUUAUGUUUGCUUAAUGCAGGGCAGCACUGAGCACUGCUGGAUAUCACCAGUUUCAUCUCCUCAGCCCCUGCAUCAUCCACAGGGACCCUGCCUGACCACCAUGACUUGAGACCAGUGGCUUUCAGGGGUGGUCCCAUUUGAUCCUAAAGGAUGCUCACAGGUUGUUACCCCGAGAUGGGGCAGUGAGCCAUUCUCUCGCUCUGAACACAAACCUCUCCCCACAGUUACAUUUGUCCCCAAGCAGCCCCCCACGUCUGCAUGCUUUUGUGCUGUUUCUGCUUUGCAGAAAAGAGAUGACCCUCAUCUGGGUGUGCGGCCACACUGAGGGUGGUGAGACGCUCUCCCAGGCAGAUGGGGAGGGGAACUGCAAUCAGCGAUGUUUGGCAGGGACUGCAUGACCCUGUGUGGGAGACUGACUGCUUUCAUCUCUGGCCAGCCAGCCCUGAUCUAGAGCCUUGAUGUCUGGCACAGGUAGACUAUGGCAUGGCCCCACAGCUCCUAAAGCCCUGAUGCACAUGUGCUUGGGGCAGGUGAGGGGCAGAGGUAAUGCCAGGGGGUCCAGAGAGGCCUCCACAUGCUGCUGUAUCCCAGCACAGUCAAAGCAGAUGAGUGACCAGUGUGACACAUCCUGGGCUCCUGCCAUUGCCCUGGCAAUCUCCCAUUUGCAACCCAGUCAAGGGCACAUCCCUGGCCCUGCAGGCCUGGGUGACUCCAGUGCAGAGGCUGCUGCUCUGUGCCAUCCAGCUGAUGGAGCCACCCUCUGUGCCCAUCUGGGAAAAGAGAAACCAAAUCUCAUCACAGAAACUGAGGUGUAGGCCUAUUUUUUUGUCUCUAUUUCUGGGAGGACAGCAUGGCCUGAAGCUGCCCACAGCAAGCUGAGGGGUCAGGGGAGCACCCAGCACCACAACAUGGUGUUGGUUUCCCUUCCAUGCUCUAAUGCAAAUCAAGGUCAAAGCAAAGCAAAGGUCUGCAAAACAGCAGAGUGGCACAUCUGUCACUUUGACAAGGCAGAACCAAACCUGUGAGCACCCCAGGGCUGGGGCCAUCCCCAACAGCUCCUUAGCAGUGGCACAAGAAACACAUAAGAUGUAAGCCAGACAGGAGCAAGGCUGUCAGAAUGCACAUUUUGUUGAGAAUUGUGCCUGCACGGCCCAUGGACUGGGCAGAGCCAGUGGCACCUUGCCUACAACUGCUUUCAGCUUGCAUUUCUGAAACAGCCCCAUCUGUGCUUCCUACAAAAGAUGACUUGUUUGCAUACUCACUCCGUUUUGUCCAGUCUCCUCUGGUCUAUUUCUGGCUUUCUUUGUACUUAUGCAGCCAAAGAACAAAAACUUCCCCUGGGCAGACAGUAAGAACCUUGCGGGGAGGCACCGUGUCCCUUCACACUGCUCUCGCUGUGUCUCAGAGCCAUUGGGAGGAACCAGCUGCUGGAUGAGACUGCAGCUGGCAAGCACCCCCAAACAGUGUGUGUCUGCUUUCCUCCCUCCAGGGGGUGAUUUUUGGUGAGUUUCACCACUUAUAGCUCUCCAUGUGUUGUCACCAAUCAUGGCAGAGCUGGAUCAGCACCUCAAAUCCCAUCCCCAUGCUUCAACUUCAGGGCAAAACAAAGGGGAACACAGUCAGAAACAACCCCAAAAAGGCUUUACCAGGAGCCCCAGCCCUGCUCUGCCUGGGAUUGGGAACCUGAGCCCCCCUUGCUCCCACACCUCUGUUUUUUUUCACUCCCAACCUCAGUGAUUACCCCCACACUGCUCCUGCAGACAGGUUUAUCCUCACACCCUGAGGUCUGUUUCCUCCCUGUGUGCUAUGGAUGUGCCACGUACAGUGUGGGUUGAGCUGAGGUUACCUGGGCAGCUGACACUUGGCCUCCUCCCACACGGCGCUGCCCAACCUGCAGCUGGCAGGGCACAUCCUUGACAUCAUUCUUGGAGGCAGUUUCCUAGGGACUUAAAAA
Non-coding RNA from Phasianus colchicus (ring-necked pheasant), 5041 nucleotides. NCBI's taxonomy places the organism in Eukaryota, Metazoa, Chordata, Aves, Galliformes, Phasianidae. The record is from RefSeq and is a predicted model, not a curated record.